RNAcentral lists this long non-coding RNA (1826 nucleotides) under Chinchilla lanigera (long-tailed chinchilla). RNAcentral describes it as "lncRNA (ENSCLAG00000029223.1)". The record is from RNAcentral. Lineage: Eukaryota; Metazoa; Chordata; Mammalia; Rodentia; Chinchillidae.
GGCUGCCUGGGUCCCUAGGGCGCGCGCCCUCGGCCUGCCCGGCCCGGGCCCUCCCGCCGGCUCCACCUGCGCGCUGGGUCUCGGGAUGUGCCCGUCCGAGAUGGGGACGCUGUGGCACGUGUGGUCUCCCGUGCUCAUCGGCCUGGCCGCCCUUUCCUCCGAAGUGACCGAGAGCCGGGGCAUCCUUGAGAGCAUCCAGAGGUUCUCCCUGCUGCCCACCUACCUGCCGGUCACCUACCACAUCAACAACGCCGACGUGUCCUUCUUCCUGAAGGAGGCCAACCAGGACAUCAUGCGCAACUCCAGCCUGCAGUCCAGGGUCGAGUCCUUCCUCAUCUACAAAUCCAAGCAGCUGCCGGCGCUCAACGCCAGCUAUGGGCCCUUCUCCAUCGAGCAAGUGGUGCCCCAGGACCUGCUGCUGCCCGCCAACCCCUUCGGCUUCACCAACACGUUUUCCCUGAACUGGAAGCUGAAGGCCUCCAUCCUGCGGGAGAAGAUCUACCCCAGCCGUCCCAAGGUGCAGGUCCUCUUCCACCUGGUAGGCCGGGACUGGGACGACGCGCGGCCUGCGGAGAGGCUGCCCUGCCUGCGCGUCUUCGCCUUCCGGGAGACCCGGGAGGUGCGGGGCAGCUGCCGGCUCGCCGGGGACCUGGGCCUGUGCGUGGCGGAGCUGGAGGUCCCGGCCGCGUGGUUCAGUGCCCCGACGGUGGUUGCCGGGAGGAGGAAGGCCGCGGAGCAGCCCGAGGGCAGCCCGGUGGAGCUGUACUACUCCAUGCAGCCGGGGGACGCGCGUUGGGACUGCGCCCAGGAGGACCGGUGGAGGACCGACGGCAUUCGGACAGGUCACAAUGACAUCGAUGAGUCUGGGCCGCCCUUGCACAGAAUCGGGAGUGUCUUCCUCUACCAGACCCACGGCAGCCCCACCCUGAAGGAGCUGCGACUGGACAGCAAUGUCGCCGUGCACUACGUCCCCAAGACGGCUCGACAGGGCGACGUGCUCACCUUCCCCAUCUUGGUCUCGAGAAACUGUACAGAGGACCGUUUUACGCUGAGGGCCAAGGUGAAGAAAGGCGUGAGCAUUGCCGGGGUGAGGGCCAGCAGCCCCUCCAUCUGGGACGUCAAGGAGAGCUCGGAGUCCGCCGGGAAGUACGCACCCGCUGUCAUAGUGUGUCACAAGAAAUCUGCUGCCUCGGCAAACGGAUGCCCCGUGUAUCAAAACCACAGUGAGAUACCACCUCACACCUGCUGGGACAGCUGUGGCCAAAAGGAAGAGCAGUGACAAGAGCAGGUGAGGAUGAGCAGCGAGGAGCCCCGCACGGUGGCAGCCGUGGUGGGAGCCCUGUGGAGGUUCCACCUAAAACCAGCAGCAGAGCCAUGUUGUGGUCCCACCACCGCUCCACAGGGGCACAUCCAUGGGACCCAGAAUCGAUGUGUGCAAGAGACGUCAGCUUCCCACAGGUGGCAGCAGCGCUAGUCACACUUUCCAAGAAACAGACAACCUCAAAGACCUGCCGCCCACAAGUGGAUGGAGGAGAGGUUCAUUCUGUCUCACAGUUCAGACGUUUCCGUCCACAUUUCUGUGCACAGCACAGAAGCAGCAUGACUGGAGGGCCUGGGUGGAGAGCUGAUUGCUCAUGGUUCCAGGAAGCAGAAGAAGGGAGAAGCUGAGGAGGGAGAGAAACCCUUCCAGGGCCUGUCCUCAGGGACCCACCUCUUGCAACAGGACCCCACCUGACAGCAGCAGGUCAGUGAUAAGAUCUUAUGAUUGGACCAGCUUUCAGAAACGCCAACUUCUAAACACACGAGGCUUUGGAGGAACAUCUAAG